CUGAAUUAAACAGUUGUUGCUCUGAUGUUGUAGCAGCUUGGCAGGAGUAAGGGCAAGUAUUUUUUUUGGACAUGGGUAAAACCCAGAACCCAAAUUUCCUCCCACACCACCCACCUCCAAACUUAUUCAUUCCUCCCUCUUUACUACACAUGCAACGCCCUCCCUCACCCAAAAUUAGCCUCUCAUGAAAAAAGAAAACAGCAGCAAUAAAGAGGUAGCUAUGAUGGCGAAGUUGCUCAAGAUACCGGUUCCGAUAUAACUUAAUCUGAAUGAAAACAGAGCUGUUACUUCUUCAGAUUCAACUCUACUACUUAUAUUCUUUUCAAGGGUGCUACCAAACAGCUUCUUUCUGUAGGAUGUUGAAUAAGGAUUGCGGCAGAUUGGUGCCUCAAUUCUUCCAAUUUCGUAGCUACAUGUGCCAAGGCAUUUCUUUCUCUAGGAAUCCAGCAAGAUUUGAGUUAACGAAUACUCUUGCUGCCAAACUAGUGAGGAAUCUUUUCAUGUGAUCCCUGAACACUGCUGCAAUUGCACCUAAUGAUGCAUCCACAUUAGCUUUAACCCAAUUUGUAGGUAUUUUCUGGCUGAAAUUGAGGAGCUUGAGUAAAAGUCUGAUUCAGAGACAGAGAAAGGACUACAGAUGCUGUCAGGAUCUGACCUCUGUGCACUCAAAGAGGCUUUUCUGAAGCUACAGAAGUCCAAAUGGCACAAUCUCAAUAGAUAUAGAAAGCUAACAUUCAGGGAUUUCCAGAAAUAUAGAAUAGCUCAUACUUUACUUUGGAAAUGAAGGCCCAAAACUGGCGUUCAACGCCAGCCACCUACCCUAUUCCUAGCAUUGGAUGCCCAAAAGGGAGCAGCUGGUGUUCAACGCCCAAAAGGGGGUCCCAUGCCAGCGUUCAAUGCUCCUAAGGAGUCCUAGCACAUGGAGACACCCUUUGCUCAGCCCAAACACUCACCAAGUGGGUCCGAAAAGUAAAUUUUUGCACUACAAGACUAGUUUAUCUUAUUUUUAUAAUUUUUAGUCAUUGGAUUAGUAUAUAUAGGAGAAGAUCACCCAUGUUUAGGAUCUUCUACCUCAACUCUUACCCACUUUUAUGUUUUACAUCACUUUUCUGUAAGCAUGAGUCACUAACAUCCUAAGG
Molecule: long non-coding RNA, 1139 nt
Organism: Arachis stenosperma
Lineage: Eukaryota; Viridiplantae; Streptophyta; Magnoliopsida; Fabales; Fabaceae
Exons: 3
Source: RefSeq, a predicted model, not a curated record